UUGGAGGGCAAGUCUGGUGCCAGCAGCCGCGGUAAUUCCAGCUCCAAUAGCGUAUAUUAAAGUUGUUGCAGUUAAAAAGCUCGUAGUUGAAUUACGGGAUUAGUACGUUGGUCGUGCCUUCGGUACGUACUGGUGUUACUGAUUCCUACCUUCUGACGAACCAUCAUGUCAUUAGUUUGGUGUGGUGGGGAAUCAGGACUGUUACUUUGAAAAAAUUAGAGUGUUUAAAGCAGGCUCGCGCUUGAAUACAUUAGCAUGGAAUAAUGAAAUAGGACGUUGAUCCUAUUUUGUUGGUUUCUAGGAUUGACGUAAUGAUUAAUAGGGAUAGUUGGGGGCAUUAGUAUUCAAUUGUCAGAGGUGAAAUUCUUGGAUUUAUUGAAGACUAACUACUGCGAAAGCAUUUGCCAAGGAUGUUUUCAUUAAUCAAGAACGAAAGUUAGGGGAUCGAAGACGAUCAGAUACCGUCGUAGUCUUAACCAUAAACUAUGCCGACUAGGGAUCGGAUGAUGUUAUUUUUAAUGACUCAUUCGGCGCCUUACGGGAAAC
Molecule: ribosomal RNA, 546 nt
Filed under: uncultured Glomeromycotina
Lineage: Eukaryota; Fungi; Glomeromycota
Description: SSU rRNA
Rfam family: Eukaryotic small subunit ribosomal RNA
Source: RNAcentral